UACGUAGGGCGCAAGCGUUGUCCGGAAUUAUUGGGCGUAAAGAGCUCGUAGGCGGUUUGUCGCGUCUGCUAUGAAAACCUAAGGCUCAACCUUGGGCUUGCAGUGGGUACGGGCAGACUAGAGUGCGGUAGGGGUGACUGGAAUUCCUGGUGUAGCGGUGGAAUGCGCAGAUAUCAGGAGGAACACCGAUGGCGAAGGCAGGUCACUGGGCCGCAACUGACGCUGAGGAGCGAAAGCAUGGGGAGCGAACAGG
Molecule: ribosomal RNA, 253 nt
Filed under: uncultured bacterium
Lineage: Bacteria
Description: partial 16S ribosomal RNA
Rfam family: Bacterial small subunit ribosomal RNA
Source: RNAcentral